CUACGGGACGCACCGGUGAGGAAUUUUGCGCAAUGGGCGAAAGCCUGACGCAGCAACGCCGCGUGAGUGAUGAAGGCCUUCGGGUCGUAAAGCUCUGUCAAGUGGGAAGAACCUAUGUAAUGUUAAUAUCAUUAUAUACUGACGGUACCACUGAAGGAAGCACCGGCUAACUCCGUGCCAGCAGCCGCGGUAAUACGGGGGGUGCAAGCGUUAUUCGGAAUCAUGGGGCGUAAAGGGCACGUAGGCGGCCUGGUAAGUCAGAUGUGAAAGCCCGGGGCUUAACCCCGGAAGUGCAUUUGAUACUGUCAGGCUUGAGUAUGGGAGAGGGAAGUGGAAUUCCUGGUGUAGAGGUGAAAUUCGUAGAUAUCAGGAGGAACACCGGUGGCGAAGGCGACUUCCUGGACCAAUACUGACGCUGAGGUGCGAAGGCGUGGGUAGCAAACAGGAUUAGAUACCCGCGUAGUC
This 465-nucleotide ribosomal RNA is filed under the name uncultured bacterium. RNAcentral describes it as "partial 16S ribosomal RNA". It matches the Rfam family "Bacterial small subunit ribosomal RNA", at positions 339 to 795 of the family's 1533-position model. The record is from RNAcentral.